This 468-nucleotide ribosomal RNA is filed under the name uncultured bacterium. Its description in RNAcentral is "partial 16S ribosomal RNA". It matches the Rfam family "Bacterial small subunit ribosomal RNA", at positions 28 to 507 of the family's 1533-position model. The record is from RNAcentral.
GACGAACGCUGGCGGCGUGCUUAACACAUGCAAGUCGAACGGAAAGGCCCUGCUUUUGUGUGGUUCUCGAGUGGCGAACGCGUGAGUAACACGUGAGUAACCUGCCCUUGACUUUGGGAUAACUUCAGGAAACUGGGGCUAAUACCGGAUAGGAGCUCCUGCUGCAUGGUGGGGGUUGGAAAGUUUCGGCGGUUGGGUAUGGACUCGCGGCUUAUCAGCUUGUUGGUGGGGUAGUGGCUUACCAAGGCUUUGACGGGUAGCCGGCCUGAGAGGGUGACCGGCCACAUUGGGACUGAGAUACGGGCCAGACUCCUACGGGAGGCAGCAGUCGGGAAUAUUGUACGAUGGGCUGAAGGCUGAUGCAGUAACGCCGCGUGCGGGAUGACGGCCUUCGGGUUGUAAACCGCUUUCGCCUCUGACGCAGCGUGAGAGACGGUAAUGGGUACAGAAGUACGGGCUAACUACGUG